Molecule: long non-coding RNA, 474 nt
Organism: Amphimedon queenslandica
Lineage: Eukaryota; Metazoa; Porifera; Demospongiae; Haplosclerida; Niphatidae
Exons: 3
Source: RefSeq, a predicted model, not a curated record
UGAUGAAGGACUUAUAGAGGCAGUAAGAUCAUUUUCCUGCUUGUGACAAACGGGCUCCAAGGAGUCUAAAGAUAUCAAGGCUAAAGAAAAUGCAUGGAAAAAAGUUGCUACAAAGGUUAGUUUAAUUUUGUUACAAGUAAUUAUUAAAAAUGCUAGAUAAGUGGGAAAGAUGACGAUGAAUCUCGAAAAGAUUGCAUAUGAAGGUGGAAGAACAUCAGAGACAGAUUUGUGAGAGUUCAAAAAAACCAAAAGACCCACUGGUACAGAAGGUCCGCCUUACAAGCCUAAUUGGAGUCUAUUUGAAUCACUUACGUUUGUUCAAGAUGUUGUACGCCAUCGACAAACUGUCAGUAAUGUUACUUUAGCCAAACCAGCAGAGCCAGAUCUUUCUGUAGCUGAAGUUGAGAAUAAUGAGUCUGCUCAAUUAACACUUGAUGACUCAGCAAACUCACAAGGUGUCUUAAUUUCCCCUCC